Molecule: ribosomal RNA, 210 nt
Filed under: uncultured bacterium
Lineage: Bacteria
Description: partial 16S ribosomal RNA
Rfam family: Bacterial small subunit ribosomal RNA
Source: RNAcentral
UACGGAGGGUGCGAGCGUUGUUCGGAUUUAUUGGGCGUAAAGCGCGUGUAGGCGGUUUUAUAAGUCUGAUGUGAAAGCCCCGGGCUCAACCUGGGAAGUGCAUUGGGAUACUGUAAGACUUGAAUACGGGAGAGGGCAGUGGAAUUCCUAGUGUAGGAGUGAAAUCCGUAGAUAUUAGGAGGAACACCGGUGGCGAAGGCGGGUCUGCGU